UGAUUUUAUUUUAAUUUUAUUUAUUAUUAUUAUUAUUAUUUAUUUAUUAUUUUUAUUUUUAUUUUUUUAUUAUAUAUAUUUUUUAGUUUAGUAUAUAUAUUUCUUUCUAGUUUUGUGUAAAAGAAAAAAAAAUUAAAAAUGAAAAAAUAAAAACAAUUGAUCUCUCAUUAUAUAUAUUUAAUUUUAUUUAAGUAUAUAUUUUUCUUCUAGUUUAGUAUAUAAUUUUCUUUUUCUUUGUGUUAAAAAAAAAAAAAACUUGGAAAUUAAUCCCAUUCUUAGCAAAGAGCAACAAAAAAAUAGCCCAAGUGGACUGAUCCCCUGUCCACGUGGAUUGAUCCCAUUUUACUUGUAUUUUCCCUUCUCAUUACACAUUAAAAGGACAAUUUUUUGUAAAAAAAUAUCGAUCCCCAGUAAAGGAGAUCGAGCGCCCAUCCAUUCUUGCCAUACCUUCCAUUCCCAAACACAGUUUUCUUCUCCUUCCUUGCGAAACCCUUAACCCACCUCCAAUCCCAAUUUGUUGGUUCGCUCCUCACUGAUCUCUUCUUCUCUUCCACGGUGUCGCGGCUGUGAUUUCCGGCGCCAUGGUUCUGAUUCCUCUCUGAUUCCGGUUGGUUUCUUCAGCGAUUUUUUUAUUGGUUCCUUCUCCCGCGAGCUUGUGGGUUGCCGUUAUCCGUGCGGUUAAUUGUUUCGGGUAAGUGCACCCGAAUCCUUUGCGGUUAAUUGCUUUGGUUAAUUGACAUUUAUCAUUUAUCAUCCACCAUAGUGCUCCAAAGAUGAGAGAAUUUGAUGAGAGAAUUCAAUACUCUUAAUCAUAUUUUUCAGACUAUCUGGGUGCUAUUGUUGUGAUAAUAAUUUUCAUGUUUGGAUCAUGUGAAAUCCAAUUUGCAUCCCGAAUCUCUUUCCCCUUCUUUGUUGUGUACUAAAUCUAGAGUUCUGCCUUUGUUUUAGAGUACUGAAAUUGUGACAUUGUUUCGCAAUAUAGAUUGUUGGUCUAAAAAAAAAACCCUACAAAACUAAAUCUAUAGCAACAGGGUUGCAAUAUCUGGAAUGGGUGCUUGAGUUGGAUUUGUUUUGGAGUUGAAUUGAGUUGUUGUAGGUCUAAAAAAAAAACAGAGUGAUGAUUUUUGAAUUGUUGUUAAAAAAAAAAAAAAAUUGCAUUGAUGUUUUUUUUUUUUAAAAAAAAAAAAAAAAGUUGAAUUGAUGAUUGCACAUAGAGUUGCAUUGAUGUGUAAAAAUAAUAAUAAUAAAAAAAAAAGUUGAAUUGAUGAUUAAAAAAAAAAAAAUUUCACAGUGGCCCAAUUUGGUGAUUGGAAAACUAGAGUUGGAUGCUUCAUUUGACAUUGAAUGUCUUGUUGGUUGAUUUGCAGAUUUUGGUUUGUCAUUGGAGUAGGGUUAUUGAAUUUGGACUACUUCCCAUAUAUUUCAAUCUUUAAGAAAUGACUUGUGUUUCUUCUUCCAAACGUUUCAAACCCUCCAAAGAGACUCCCAAAGCUGUGUGGCGCAACAAACGUCUGGAUUUUGAGACUACUUUUGACAUUAAAGGUACAUUUCGCCACAAUGACACGACUGAAUGGGCGGUGUUAGAAUUUGAAAGGAGACGUUUAUCCUGCCUUUUUAGACCAGCUGCAGAGGUUGCAUAUCCCCGUAUUGUGUGUCUGUUUUAUCAGAAUAUGGAAUGGUUUAGUGAUGCGCCGGAUAUAUUAGCUACAACCAUUGAUGGUGUCCGAAUUCACUUUGGUGUCUUGGACAUAGCCCAGGCAUUGGGGUGUCCACAUUUGUGCCCCACUAACUUGCUAGCAGAGAUGGGGAGCUACAUUUUGGCAAAUUCUCAGAAAAACCUAUUGUGCAUUCUAUUGUUAAGGAUAUGUGUGACGGGAAGUAUGGAGACAAUAAGAAGAAGAAUUGUGCCAGCAAGUCCUCACUACCUAAGAAUAUGUGGUUUUUCGAUUAGGUUCUGAAACGGAAUGCUUUUCCAAUAGGUCAUAAGGUACAGAGGGGGCAAGAGUUCUUAAUAGCGUUAUAUGCUACACACACUGGAGCAUGGUUUUCUGUUCCAACUUUCAUCUUUAACCAAAUGCAUAAAUAUUAGAAGCAUUUAGUGGCGAGUGGGGAUCCGAAUGCGUAAAAAUGGAAACUCCCGUUUUCGUAUCUUAUUACCCAGCUUUUUGUCCUUCAACGCUUCGUGGUUGAUAAUGAUGAGGUUUCUGAGGCUCAACGGGUGACUUUUGGGCUAGCACAGUGGAACUUAAGCCUUGCUCAUAUGCCUAGUGCCAAGAAGGAAGGUGAUGGCAUGGUAGCAGGUGGUAGAGAGGAUGUGAAUGCCCUGGUUGAGGACGUCGUUAGGAGGUCUGAGGAGCAGAUUGCUAAUGGUGCUAGUUAUGAGAUAGCACAGGCUGUGUCACCACAUGCAGAAGAGUCUGCAGGGGUGACUAGGACAGAGUUCAAUGCCAUUGUGGGGCAGUUGAGGACCAAGUUGGUUGAAUCUGAGGAGCAGCGUCGAGUCGAGCAUGCUGAGCUUAUACAGCAGCACAUCACUACCCAGCGCAUGCUACGUUAUCUUCGUGAGAUUGUUUCAUCGAGUGGCUCUUCCACAUUGCCACCUGAUGCAUGAUUUCUCUUGUCUAUGUUAGGCUAUUUAGAUUUUUCUAUUUUGAGUGGAUGGGAUUUUAAGUGGCUAUAGUCAGAUUUUUUUAGUGAUUUCAAGCUGGCUAUUUUGGGAACCUGUAAUUUUGGGUUUUGAUGAUAUAUUUUGGUUUCAUUCAUCCAUAUAUGAUUGCUUUUGGCUUUUGUUGCUUAUAUUCAUAUAAAAAAAAAACAAAAAACAAAAAACAAAAAACAAUACUAAGUAAAAAAAUAAUGAAAAUAAAUAAAAAAUAAUAAAAAAAUAAAAAUUGCAAAGUAUCGUUCCGUCUUGCUAGAAACGUUAAACUUAACCCAUUAUUAUUAUUAUUAUUAUUAUUAUUUAUUUUGUAGGUUGUAUAUAUUUAUGUUCUUUUUCUUUAUUUCUUUUAAAAAAAAAAAAAAAAAAAACAAACAAAAAAAUAAAUAAAAUAAUAAUAAUAAUAAUAAAAAAAUUUCAAAAAUAUGUGUUACUAGUAUGCCCUUAUGACUGGUUAUGAAUGUUUUCAGAUUUUAUCAAGGGUUUCAUCUUAUAUCUCUUUGCAUUGUGUUAUCUAUUAUUUAGAACUGUAUGAAUUGCUUAUCCCAUGUGAUAUUUGAUGUGAGUUUGCUAGUAUGGUUAUACAGCUAGGUUUUUGCAUCCAAGUUUGGGGGAGACGUCUUUCCUACUGGAUCAUUGCCAGAUUUCAUAAUCUUUGCCAUCACGGUCAAUAAGGUUUAAACGGACUAAUUUUGGUUCACUAAAGCCUUUUUGGAGUCAAGUAAAGACAUUCAGAAAAAGUUCAGAAAAUGGCAAAAAGAGAUCGCAGCCCAUUGCUCGUAUAGUGUGUUUAUUCUUCAAAAGCGGUCAAUCUCGAGCUUUUGAUGAUGUUCCUAAAGAUGAAGAAGCAAACCAAUUAGGCCAGAACCAAAAUGGAGCCAAAUAAGGCUUAAAGGAAAUUUCCAACUCUGGGGGAUCGAUCCCCCACUAUUCACAGAACUAAAAAUGCCCUUGGGGGACCGAUCCCUGAGGCUGUAGGAUCAAUCCCCCAGUACCUGGCAGCAUUACGGGAUUUUCUUAUUUUGGGCUUAUUUUUGUAACUUAUGAGCUUUAAUAGGGUUUGUUACUUAAGGCCCAGUGAGCCAUUAGUUUAGGGGUAGUUAUUAUUUUAUUUAAGUGAGUUUUUAAUUUAUUAAUUGGGGGGGAUUAUUAGUUUUUCUGUAUCGAUAUAUUCUCUCUGGAAAAACACGCGAAAGAGGAGAAACGAAGAACGUGCUAGGGUUUGGAAGAGGAAGCUCAAAGAUGAUGAAGCAGAUGAUGGAGAUUGUUCCGUCUUCGAAUCCGUCAAUCAUGAGUGGUUGAUUCUUCUACUUAGGGUUCAAUAAACCCUAAGCAUGUAACCUAAUUCUUAACUCUUGACUUUUGGGGAUUAAUUUUUGUUAUAGCCUUGAGAUAUAUAUCAAUUCUUUCAUUUGAUUGUC
This is a long non-coding RNA of Cornus florida, 4080 nucleotides long. RefSeq lists it as uncharacterized. The record is from RefSeq and is a predicted model, not a curated record. NCBI's taxonomy places the organism in Eukaryota, Viridiplantae, Streptophyta, Magnoliopsida, Cornales, Cornaceae. The transcript has 2 exons.